UGUAUUGAGUUUGUUCAAAAUGAGUUAGACCCUUGUUGAGAGAUUUAUCAUACUCCUAAGAUCAAGACAUUUUUAUUCAGAAAGAUUCACUCUUCCGAAGUAUUAUUGCGUUAGAGGCAUGGGCUAUGUAAAAAUAUGAAUAUUUUGACGAAAUAAAAAGGAGCAAGUGCUCGACAACCUCGCAGAAAAAAUGGACAAG
Molecule: long non-coding RNA, 199 nt
Filed under: Sorghum bicolor (sorghum)
Lineage: Eukaryota; Viridiplantae; Streptophyta; Magnoliopsida; Poales; Poaceae
Description: long non-coding RNA (SBIC_LNC005393)
Source: RNAcentral